Molecule: ribosomal RNA, 182 nt
Filed under: uncultured Planctomycetaceae bacterium
Lineage: Bacteria; Pseudomonadati; Planctomycetota; Planctomycetia; Planctomycetales; Planctomycetaceae
Description: partial 16S ribosomal RNA
Rfam family: Bacterial small subunit ribosomal RNA
Source: RNAcentral
ACUCCUACGGGAGGCAGCAGUCGAGGAUCUUCGGCAAUGGGCGCAAGCCUGACCGAGCGACGCCGCGUGAGCGAUGAAGGCCAUUAGGUUGUAAAGCUCUGUCGAGGGGGAACAAGCCGCAAGGUUGAGUGACCCCUGGAGGAAGCACGGGCUAAGUUCGUGCCAGCAGCCGCGGUAAUACA